RNAcentral lists this unclassified non-coding RNA (1389 nucleotides) under uncultured Neocallimastigales. Its description in RNAcentral is "partial contains small subunit ribosomal RNA, internal transcribed spacer 1, 5.8S ribosomal RNA, internal transcribed spacer 2, and large subunit ribosomal RNA". The stretch from base 614 to 1389 matches the Rfam family "Eukaryotic large subunit ribosomal RNA", at positions 1 to 628 of the family's 3401-position model. Lineage: Eukaryota; Fungi; Neocallimastigomycota; Neocallimastigomycetes; Neocallimastigales. The record is from RNAcentral.
UUUCCGUAGGUGAACCUGCGGAAGGAUCAUUAAUAAAUUUUUUUUGAAAUAAAAAAAAAAUAAUAAUCAUCCUACCCUUUGCGAAUUUGUUUUGUUGAAUAAUUUUUUAAAAUUAUUUAUUGUCUAUCCAAGUUGGAAAGUUGUAAAAGACUGAAGACUUGGAGCGGCAUAAAUAAAUUUAAAGACUUUUUCUAAAAUUAAACUUUUUGUAUUCAUUUGUCUAGAAUAAUUUUUAUAAUAUAUAAAAACAACUUUUGACAAUGGAUCUCUUGGUUCUCGCAACGAUGAAGAACGCAGCAAAAUGCGAUAAGUAAUGUGAAUUGCAGAAUACGUGAAUCAUCGAAUCUUCGAACGCAUAUUGCACUUUUUUAGUUUACUAAAAAAGUAUGUCUGUUUGAGUAUCAGUAAAAUAUUCUCAUAAAAUUUUUUAAUUUUAUGGUUAUGAGUGUUUUACAACGAUAAACAAGUUGUUUCACUUUAAAUUGAAUUUUUUGAAGAAAUUCUUUAAUUCAAAUUAAAUUUGGAUAAAAUUUUCCCGUAAAAAGGAAUAACUAUACAAGUUUAAUAAGAAUUUAGUGAUUUCUUUUAUGAAAAGGAAAUUUAUUAAAUAACUUGAUCUCAAAUCAGAUAAGAGUACCCGCUGAACUUAAGCAUAUCAAUAAGCGGAGGAAAAGAAACUAACAAGGAUUCCCCUAGUAACGGCGAGUGAAGCGGGAAGAGCUCGAAUUUGAAAUCUUAAAGGGUUUCCCUUUACGAAUUGUAGUUUAAAGAAGUGUUUUCUGUUGAGGUUUUGGUAAAAGUUCUUUGGAAUAGGACAUCAUAGAGGGUGUGAAUCCCGUAUUUGACCUUUACUUUCAACUUUGUGAUACACUUCCAAAGAGUCGGAUUGUUUGGGAAUGCAGUCCAAAAUGGGUGGUAAAUUUCAUCUAAAGCUAAAUAUUGGCGAGAGACCGAUAGCGAACAGUACCGUGCGGGAAAGAUGAAAAGAACUUUGAAAAGAGAGUUAAACAGUACGUGAAAUUGUCAAAAGGGAAGCGUUUGACACCAGUGUUGUUUUUCUGAAAAUCAAUUAAAGAACUGUUUAUGCUAAGUUGUUUAGACUUUAUCAGCUAACUGUUUAGUUUUGAGCUUUUCUUUAAUGCACUUUUCAGUUAACAAGUCAACAUCAAUUUCUUUUGCUGUAAAAAAGCUUGAGGAAGGUGGCUUGAGAUUCGUCUUAAGUGUUUAUAGCCUCUUGCCUAUGCAGUCGGAGAGAUUGAGGUCUGCAGCGUAGAUCCUUCGGGCUAAAUGCAUUUGUGCUAAGUUAUAGCAUUUUAUAGACAACUUGUUGACUAUGAUUUGUCUUGUAGCUUACUCGCUUAUGUUAUUUUACCUACGCUUAGGAUGUUG